AUUGAACGCUGGCGGCAGGCCUAACACAUGCAAGUCGAGCGGAUGAAGGGAGCUUGCUCCUGGAUUCAGCGGCGGACGGGUGAGUAAUGCCUAGGAAUCUGCCUGGUAGUGGGGGAUAACGUCCGGAAACGGGCGCUAAUACCGCAUACGUCCUGAGGGAGAAAGUGGGGGAUCUUCGGACCUCACGCUAUCAGAUAAGCCUAGGUCGGAUUAGCUAGUUGGUGGGGUAAAGGCCUACCAAGGCGACGAUCCGUAACUGGUCUGAGAGGAUGAUCAGUCACACGGGAAAUGAGACAGGGUCAAGACCCAGAGGGGAGAGACCAGGGGGGAAUAUGGAACAAGGGGCGAAAGCUUGAACCAGCAAUGGGGGGUGGGGAAAGAAGGUAUGCGGAUAGAAAAGAACUUUAAGGGGGGAGAAAGGAAAGUAAGUUAAUACCUGGCUGUUUUGAGUUACCAAAAAAAAAAAGCCCCGGCAAACUUCGGC
Molecule: ribosomal RNA, 484 nt
Filed under: uncultured bacterium
Lineage: Bacteria
Description: partial 16S ribosomal RNA
Rfam family: Bacterial small subunit ribosomal RNA
Source: RNAcentral